GAUGAACGCUGGCGGCGUGCCUAAUACAUGCAAGUCGAGCGAACAGACGAGGAGCUUGCUCCUCUGACGUUAGCGGCGGACGGGUGAGUAACACGUGGAUAACCUACCUAUAAGACUGGGAUAACUUCGGGAAACCGGAGCUAAUACCGGAUAAUAUAUUGAACCGCAUGGUUCAAUAGUGAAAGACGGUUUUGCUGUCACUUAUAGAUGGAUCCGCGCCGCAUUAGCUAGUUGGUAAGGUAACGGCUUACCAAGGCAACGAUGCGUAGCCGACCUGAGAGGGUGAUCGGCCACACUGGAACUGAGACACGGUCCAGACUCCUACGGGAGGCAGCAGUAGGGAAUCUCCCGCAAUGGGCGAAAGCCUGACGGAGCAACGCCGCGUGAGUGAUGAAGGUCUUCGGAUCGUAAAACUCUGUUAUUAGGGAAGAACAAAUGUGUAAGUAACUAUGCACGUCUUGACGGUACCUAAUCAGAAAGCCACGGCUAACUACGUG
This 497-nucleotide ribosomal RNA is filed under the name uncultured bacterium. RNAcentral's name for it is "partial 16S ribosomal RNA". It matches the Rfam family "Bacterial small subunit ribosomal RNA", at positions 28 to 507 of the family's 1533-position model. The record is from RNAcentral.